Podarcis lilfordi (Lilford's wall lizard) is the source of this 70-nucleotide non-coding RNA. The record is from the annotation of a GenBank genome assembly. Lineage: Eukaryota; Metazoa; Chordata; Lepidosauria; Squamata; Lacertidae.
UCUGCUUCAUGUGUGUGUGUGUGUGUGCAUGUAUGCAUAUACACAUGCACGCACACACACUUAAAGUAGC